CAGUCGCCGCGGUAAUACGGAGGGUGCAAGCGUUAUCCGGAUUUAUUGGGUUUAAAGGGUCCGUAGGCGGACUUAUAAGUCAGUGGUGAAAGCCUGUCGCUUAACGAUAGAACUGCCAUUGAUACUGUAAGUCUUGAGUAUAUUUGAGGUAGCUGGAAUAAGUAGUGUAGCGGUGAAAUGCAUAGAUAUUACUUAGAACACCAAUUGCGAAGGCAGGUUACCAAGAUAUAACUGACGCUGAGGGACGAAAGCGUGGGUAGCGAACAGGAUUAGAGACCCCCGUAGUCCCUGUCUCUUAUAC
Molecule: ribosomal RNA, 301 nt
Filed under: uncultured bacterium
Lineage: Bacteria
Description: partial 16S ribosomal RNA
Rfam family: Bacterial small subunit ribosomal RNA
Source: RNAcentral